GACGAACGCUGGCGGCGUGCUUAACACAUGCAAGUCGAACGGAAAGGCCCUGCUUUUGUGGGGUGCUCGAGUGGCGAACGGGUGAGUAACACGUGAGUAACCUGCCCUUGACUUUGGGAUAACUUCAGGAAACUGGGGCUAAUACCGGAUAGGAGCUCCUGCUGCAUGGUGGGGGUUGGAAAGUUUCGGCGGUUGGGGAUGGACUCGCGGCUUAUCAGCUUGUUGGUGGGGUAGUGGCUUACCAAGGCUUUGACGGGUAGCCGGCCUGAGAGGGUGACCGGCCACAUUGGGACUGAGAUACGGCCCAGACUCCUACGGGAGGCAGCAGUGGGGAAUAGUGCACAAGGGGCGGAAGCCUGAUGCAGCAACGCCGCGUGCGGGAUGACGGCCAUCGGGUUGUAAACCGCUUUCGCCUGUGACGAAGCGUGAGUGACGGUAAUGGGUAAAGAAGCACCGGCUAACUACGUG
This 468-nucleotide ribosomal RNA is filed under the name uncultured bacterium. RNAcentral describes it as "partial 16S ribosomal RNA". It matches the Rfam family "Bacterial small subunit ribosomal RNA", at positions 28 to 507 of the family's 1533-position model. The record is from RNAcentral.